Molecule: ribosomal RNA, 640 nt
Filed under: uncultured soil bacterium
Lineage: Bacteria
Description: partial 16S ribosomal RNA
Source: RNAcentral
CGUCGCUCCCCUGGCUUUCGCGCCUCAGCGUCAGUGUCAGCCCAGCAACCCGCCUUCGCCGCAGGUGUUCCUCUCGAUAUCUACGCAUUUCACCGCUACACCGAGAAUUCCAGUUGCCCCUUCUGCACUCUAGUCGCACAGUAUCAGUUGACCUUUCCGAGUUAAGCCCGGAGAUUUCACAACUGACUUGUGCUGACCGCCUACGCGCCCUUUACGCCCAGUAAAUCCGAACGACGCUUGCUCCCCCCGUAUUACCGCGGCUGCUGGCACGGAGUUAGCCGGAGCUUACAAAUGGUACCGUCAUCAUAGGGGGUAUUAACCCCUACUAAUUCUUCCCAUUCUUGCGAAGUUUACAUCCCGAGGGAUUUCAUCCUUCACGCGGCGUUGCUGGGUCAGGCUUUCGCCCAUUGCCCAAAAUUCCCGACUGCUGCCUCCCGUAGGAGUCUGACCCGUAUGUCAGUGUCAGUGUGACCGACCGCCCUCUCAGGCCGGUUACAGAUCGUCGCCUUGGUAAGCCGUUACCCUACCAACUAGCUAAUCUGCCGCAGGCUCCUCUUCAGGCGCGAGGUCCUAAAAUCCCCCGCUUUAACAACUGUCACCAUGUGGUGCCGCUGCAUUAUGCGGUGUUAGCCCAAGUUUC